GACGCUUCUCGGCUCUCUGAGCUAAGAUCAUGUGUACUAUCUGUUCUUUGCAGUGUAAUUUCUGCAACGGUCUCUAAACUGAGACCAAUAAAAUUACCUGUAUUUUCCCUUACGGACGGGUGCUGUGAACUUGCUCAACCCCGUCCACAGGUUGGCCUCGUAUUGCACUACCUCGAGGAUUGGCCCAUUAAGC
This 193-nucleotide small nuclear RNA is filed under the name Trichobilharzia regenti. Its description in RNAcentral is "U2 spliceosomal RNA". It matches the Rfam family "U2 spliceosomal RNA". Rfam says of the family: U2 is a small nuclear RNA (snRNA) component of the spliceosome (involved in pre-mRNA splicing). Complementary binding between U2 snRNA (in an area lying towards the 5' end but 3' to hairpin I) and the branchpoint sequence (BPS) of the intron results the bulging out of an unpaired adenosine, on the BPS, which initiates a nucleophilic attack at the intronic 5' splice site, thus starting the first of two transesterification reactions that mediate splicing. Lineage: Eukaryota; Metazoa; Platyhelminthes; Trematoda; Strigeidida; Schistosomatidae. The record is from Rfam by way of RNAcentral.